Molecule: ribosomal RNA, 46 nt
Filed under: Russula sp. CUH AM112
Lineage: Eukaryota; Fungi; Basidiomycota; Agaricomycetes; Russulales; Russulaceae
Description: partial 28S ribosomal RNA
Source: RNAcentral
UUGACCUCAAAUCGGGUGAGACUACCCCGCUGAACUUUAAGCAUAU